GCUGAAAGAUGGGCUCGCGUCCAAUUAGCUAGAUGGUGAGGUAACGGCUCACCAUGGCGACGAUUGGUAGCCGGACUGAGAGGUUGAACGGCCACAUUGGGACUGAGACACGGCCCAGACUCCUACGGGAGGCAGCAGUGGGGAAUAUUGCACAAUGGAGGAAACUCUGAUGCAGCGACGCCGCGUGAAGGAAGAAGGUCUUCGGAUUGUAAACUUCUGUUGUCAGGGACGAUAAUGACGGUACCUGACGAGAAAGCCACGGCUAACUAC
This 270-nucleotide ribosomal RNA is filed under the name uncultured bacterium. Its description in RNAcentral is "partial 16S ribosomal RNA". It matches the Rfam family "Bacterial small subunit ribosomal RNA", at positions 217 to 504 of the family's 1533-position model. The record is from RNAcentral.